CUGGUAAUUAAUGCUCUAUUUGCAGGCGAGGCUUUGUGGAACAGAUAUUCAGAAAGUUGCGACCUGACUGUGCAAAUGCAGAGAGCAUGGAUGAGAUGGGGGAGGAUGGACUGAGUGGUAAUUUGAUGUUCUUCCCGAGUCCAUCAAUGCGUGACAAGAUAACCUCCAUUUUCGAAAACUCGUCCCUUGAUGAUGACGCUUGAUGAUGAUGAUCAUGAUGAAGGGUUCUGGGUUGGGUUUAGGGGCAGAAGGAGAAUGAUGCCUACAGUAUUGAGAGAUACACCUAGGGUUCUGUAACAACGCAACCCCUCCCCCCACCCAGCGAUAAAAACACAAACCCUCAAAAUGUUGAUGUGCUGAUGAUACAGUUUAUGCAAGUGUGCAGAAGCAUUCAACAGAUAUGUCAAGAUUAGGAAUUCUGUGCCUUAGGUAUAACAUCAGUAAGAUUUUUUUUUUUUUUUUUUUUUUCCAUUUUCUUUUUUUCUUUUUUUUUUUUUUUUUUUUUUUUUCUCUCAAAGCUGUGAAUAUAAAAAGUGAUCAUUCCUGGUACUCAGCCUAAGGUUCGCGAGUUGCUGAUCUUGCCACAAAUAUUUUUGCAGUCAGAUGUGCUAGUUUCAUAUGUGAUAGUCCCGAUGCUUUCGCCUUCCAGACUCAUAACCUUGCUCUCGAAUUGUCGUGUUGGUCAACACCAACAGAUGAUGAGUCUUCAAGUAAUGUAGAUAAUGGAAAUAACUUUUUAGAGAAUUUUUUAUUAUUAUUUUUUUUUAAUCACUGAAUGAUGUGAUAACAUGUAAAAGUAAUGAGUAAAAGAAUCAGAGAUAUACAGAUAAUGAGUUCAUCCUUAUUUUGGUUUUGAAGUUCUCACUCCUUAUUGGCAGCUCGAGGGCGACUAUUUGUUUCUGGAAGGAGAGUGUGUGAAAGAAUGUAAUGAAGAUAUGUUAAUACAGUUAAUAAUAAUGAUAAGUUUUAUGCUUUUGUCUGCAUACACCUAUGUUACACCAAUAUUUGAAGUAUUUGAAGUGAAGUUUGUAGAUAAUAUGUAAAAUUGGUUAACUUUAUGUAUUCACACUCCAAGUGAGACUUACUUACAUUUCAUAUAGCGUUCUAACUUCA
Penaeus vannamei (Pacific white shrimp) is the source of this 1113-nucleotide non-coding RNA. Lineage: Eukaryota; Metazoa; Arthropoda; Malacostraca; Decapoda; Penaeidae. The record is from RefSeq and is a predicted model, not a curated record.